GCGGCAGGCCUAAUACAUGCAAGUCGAACGGGAAAGGCUCCUUCGGGGGCCUUGAGAGUGGCGCACGGGUGCGCAACGCGUAUGCAACCAACCCCCGACAGGCGGAUAGCCGGUGGAAACGCCGGAUAAUACGCCAUGGUUCCUGGUGAGGGCAUCCUCGACGAGGAUAAAGCCGAGAGGCGGUCGGGGACGGGCAUGCGUCCCAUUACGAUGGUAGGCGGGGUGACGGGCCCACCUAGUCCAUCGAUGGUAGGGGAUCUGAGAGGACGGUCCCCCACACUGGUACUGAGACACGGACCAGACUCCUGCGGGAGGCAGCAGUAAGGGAUAUUGGUCAAUGGGCGGAAGCCUGAACCAGCCAAUGCCGCGUGAGGGAAUGAGGCCCUACGGGGUCGUGAACCUCUUUUAUUCGGGGACAAGGACGGCGUCGUGAACGCCGUUUGAGGGUACCGAAGGAAUAAGCGUCGGCUAACUCCGUGCCAGCCGCGGC
Molecule: ribosomal RNA, 490 nt
Filed under: uncultured bacterium
Lineage: Bacteria
Description: bacterial SSU rRNA
Rfam family: Bacterial small subunit ribosomal RNA
Source: RNAcentral